GACGAACCGUGCGAACGUUGUUCGGAAUCACUGGGCUUAAAGGGCGCGUAGGCGGGCCGCCGCGUCCGGGGUGAAAUCCUCCCGCUCAACGGGAGAACGGCCUCGGAUACGGGCGGCCUGGAGGCGGGUAGGGGCACGCGGAACUGUGGGUGGAGCGGUGAAAUGCGUUGAGAUCCACAGGAACUCCGGUGGCGAAGGCGGCGUGCUGGACCCGUCCUGACGCUGAGGCGCGAAAGCUAGGGGAGCAAACGGG
This 253-nucleotide ribosomal RNA is filed under the name uncultured bacterium. RNAcentral's name for it is "partial 16S ribosomal RNA". It matches the Rfam family "Bacterial small subunit ribosomal RNA", at positions 524 to 776 of the family's 1533-position model. The record is from RNAcentral.